RNAcentral lists this ribosomal RNA (408 nucleotides) under uncultured bacterium. RNAcentral's name for it is "partial 16S ribosomal RNA". It matches the Rfam family "Bacterial small subunit ribosomal RNA", at positions 338 to 744 of the family's 1533-position model. The record is from RNAcentral.
CCUACGGGAGGCAGCAGUGAGGAAUAUUGGUCAAUGGGCGCAGGGCUGAACCAGCCAAGUAGCGUGAGGGAUGACGGUCCUAUGGAUUGUAAACCUCUUUUGUCAGGGAGCAAAGGGCGCCACGUGUGGCGUUUUGCGAGUACCUGAAGAAAAAGGAUCGGCUAACUCCGUGCCAGCAGCCGCGGUAAUACGGAGGAUGCGAGCGUUACCGGGUUUUAUUGGGUUUAAAGGGUGCGUAGGCGGAAUGUCAAGUCAGUGUGAAAAUUUCGGGGCUCAACCGCGUAGUGCCGGUGAAACUGGCAGUCUUGAGUGAGCGAGAGGUAUGCGGAAUGCGUGGUGUAGCGGUGAAAUGCAUAGAUAUCACGCAGAACUCCGAUUGCGAAGGCAGCAUACCGGCGUUCAACUGAC